GCUUUCGUGGUGUAAUGGUCAGCACACUCGGCGAGUAUUCGAGAGAUCUGAGGUUCGAAUCCCGGCGAGGGCA
RNAcentral lists this transfer RNA (73 nucleotides) under Stegodyphus mimosarum. It matches the Rfam family "tRNA". From Rfam's summary of the family: Transfer RNA (tRNA) molecules are approximately 80 nucleotides in length. Their secondary structure includes four short double-helical elements and three loops (D, anti-codon, and T loops). The record is from Rfam by way of RNAcentral. Lineage: Eukaryota; Metazoa; Arthropoda; Arachnida; Araneae; Eresidae.